This is a long non-coding RNA of Peromyscus californicus insignis, 3241 nucleotides long. RefSeq lists it as uncharacterized. The transcript has 4 exons. Lineage: Eukaryota; Metazoa; Chordata; Mammalia; Rodentia; Cricetidae. The record is from RefSeq and is a predicted model, not a curated record.
CGGGGGGACGGGACUGUGGGGAGGGAGGCUCCCCGGAACGAUCUGUUUUCCAAAAACGUUUAUUUGAAAAUACAAAAAACCAGAAAAACAACAACAAAAAAAGCCAGUUCCUCCUCCCCCACCCCUUUUGUCCCUCUUUCGAGAGCUUUCUGCCCUCCCCUCCCCCAUGCGCAGCAAGUGCCCCCUCCCCCGCCACCCGCGCGCCCCACCCCGCCGGGAGCCCCGGGGCCGGCGAGUGGGCCGCGGACUCACGGCGAGGGGGCGAAGCGUGAGAAAUCGCGCCCAGCCCAGAGCGCCCGCCCCUCCCCCAGCGCACACACUCGGGGAAGUUUAAAGAGCCGGUUCGACCCGCUUUCCGUUUCGCUCGGGGUUGGCUAGUACUGUGGAUCGCUCGGGCCGGCCCAGCGCUUAUGCGCACCUACUCGCCGCGACCCCGGAGCCCCCCAACUACGUACAGGGGUCUUCCGGAAAGUACGCGGGAAGCCCGCGUCCGGCCCCCUCCCCCAGCACCACACCCAGCCCCCUCCACCCCCGGGAUCGGGCACGGGGACUGGGUCGGGACGCCACCGGCCGAACCCGGUAGCCCCGCGGCAAGUCCUGCUGCCGGCGGCGCCCCCUCCUCCCCGCCCUGCGCGCCAUAAGGCUGUAGCACGUCUCCAGUGCACAGCUGCGUGAGGAUGGGCGGACGGCAGAAAAGGAGCUUGUUUUCAAAAGUCUUACUCAGGUUUGGAGGGAGGAACUAGGGGAAAAGAGGAAACGAGGCCUGCCUUUGUCAGGAUUCGAGGGGCCAAGUGACUGGGGGGCGACAGGUCAGCGCAACGUGCUGCGCGAGCCCCCAACUCGCCCGAACCCCAGACACCUAGGCUAGACCUGGGAUCUUCCCGCCCGCGAGACCCUUCUCCCCACGACCGGGCCUUGAGGGGAAGUCGGCCAGGGUUUCCACCCCAGACCCUAGGGUCUCUCGGAUGGGCCAACUCGUAGGGACAACACGAGUGUGUGAAAGCGAGAGGGAGACAAAAAUAAACAGGAGCGUUCGAGUCACCCACCCACCCUCACUUCCCCUAGCAGUGGGCUCGCGCCCAGCCUGCCUGUUCCCACCGGUGUAAGUUUCCUCCUGCCAUACUCCCGCCGCUGCCCAAUCCAUAACGGCGACGGCCAGACGAACUGCCCAUCCCAGAGCUGCGUGCCAGCCGUGCCCGCAAGAAUGUAGACCGGGCCAGUCCCCACAGCAGCACCAGCUCUGGGCACCUCGGGUCCUGAUAAAGUUUCCCGUGCCCAUUUAUUAACCAGGAGCCGAACGGCUGCCAGGGAGCCCACCCCGGGAGAAGCAGGGAUCCGGAGGUGGGGUAGCUGGUGCCGAUGGGGCAUCAGGGUGCCAAGGCUGGCAUCUGGGGAGGAAGCCGGGGGCCAGGGGCUCACCGGGACGCAGCCUUCGGGCAACUUACACUAGCGAUCGCUCGUGGUUGGGGAGGCGUGAGGAUUAUCUGAGCAUUUGCACACUCCACAAUCCCUCCCCCUCCUCCUAAGAGAAACGAAGACGCGCUUUAAACUCGAGCCAUCUCCCAACUCCGCAGCAGCCGGGUCCCCACGCGCUCUCCCCGGGGGCCUUGGGCCACAUUGAUCAGAAACUAAACCGGACCCGCGAAUCCCAAAACUUAUUGUGAGGCAGCCCAUCUCCUCCCCUCGAUCAUCUUUUCCAUCCAGACGCGAGUCGUGGGAGCUGAGAGCUCGGACGAGGGUGAGAUCGCCGCGUUCCCUCCGACCCGAACGCGUGCGCCCCGCCGGCCCCCAGCUGGGUGCACACUCGCACGCACACCCUCGCACCCAUACCCGCACACGCGGGAGCACACGCACAGAGGAUCCUGCGCCAGCGAAAUUCAAUCAAUAAACCCCGAACCCACGGCCGCGCGUUUUAGGACUUUGAAGGCUCAACCAGCUCCGCUCGGUUCUCGAGCCCCCAGCACCCGCGGCGCACACUAACCUGAUCGCCGUGAAGGCGGGACCUGCGGCUCCGGCGUGGAGCGGCGGCAGCACGAGCCAAUCGAGUGGCGAGGCUCCGGAUGCCAGCCAAUGGUGACGGCGGCGGCGGGGGGCAGGGUCCAAUGGGCGGCCUGCGCAGCGGGCCAGGGAGGCUCAGCCAUUUGGCUGUGGUGCCGGAGACGGACCCCUUUAGAUACCCGGGCGGCCGAGGAGGAGCGCGGCUGCAGCUUGGUGGCUGCGCGCGGGGGGCGGGAGGGAAGGCAGGGCAGGUGCGUGGACCUGAAGGUUCGUGGCCGGGGGCGGGGCCGCAGGUGCGUGGACGCGGGAGGGGCGGGGGCAUCCUCUAGGUGCUUGGCGGGCGGACGAGGCCUGGGGCGCGCGGGCGCCGGGCAGGCCCAGGGAGGGCGCGCAUUCUGGGAGCGCAGGAAGGACAGAUCACACCCUGGGCUGCCCACUCGGCGCAUCCCUUCGGACUGGGUCUACUUCCAUCCCUGCAAUUAAAUAAGCAAGUCUAAGCGCAUGAUGUUCCCACCUUCCGAGGAGCGAGGGCGGGAUCGCGACCCAGAGGCUUGGCAUUCUGAUGUCCUGCCAGGGCAGCCUUAAAAGAAGCGAUUCCCCGAGAGCCACCAGAGACCUUGUGUAGGGCAAUAAUUGAAUGAAAAGGCCGCGGAUGCAGAACUGUAUAGAAUAUUAAAAAAUGCGAAAGGAAGGUGCUAGUAAGUGCCGAUUCUCAGAGCCGAACAUAAUUUACGGGCUUUAUAGGUUUUGUUGAGAGAGAGCGUUGCACGUUUCAUUCUAAUCGCCCACCAGAGUCGUUUGGUUACGUCUGAGUUGCCAAGGAGUCGCUAACUGGAACACUUAUCGAGGUCUUUUGGUUGCUUUGGGUUUUGUUUUUUGUUCGACCACGUUACGUUUUUAAGAGACCUUAAAAGCCCUGGUUCCCACUGGGUUUCCAGCUUCCUAUGGGCAACCCUGGGACCUAAUGCACUGCGUGGAUAUCUGUGGCUGUGGACAAAUCACGGGGAUGACUGUCAACAGGGACACAUGUUUAACGUCAUCCACACAACUGUAUCGUAGUGUCUGUUUCUCUUCGUCUACACUCUUCCGCAAAUACCCCGAGGUAGUUUUAUCUUUGUGAAUACAUUGGAACUGAGCAUUUUAUUCAGUAAGUUCUUUUAGAUCAAAUAAUAAAUGAAUUUGAAAGCCGAUAAAUAUUCUAAGUAACUGGAAGUACGAAAUAAAAACAUGUCAUCUGGGUGAA